AGGCAACCGCGGAGUAGGAUGCUCUGCGGGGCGCCCAGAGCCGGGGGCGCUUGAAGCAGCUUCGGGGACUGGGGCAACCGGGCAGUUUUCACCAUGCAUCAGUCCCUGACUCAGCAGCGGUCCAGCGACAUGUCCCUGCCCGAUUCCAUGGUUCCUGCCAUCAGUCUGCUCAGGUCUUCUCCGAUGAAUUUGCGGGAACAUCUCGAGUGGAGGGGGCAGGGAGAAGAUCGAACCCCCUAUAUAAUCUCCCUACUGCCCGCAGAAGACUCAGUGUCAACAAAACUCGUUCACCGGAGGGGCCCCAGAAAGUGUUAUCUCCUGGAUGGUGGAAAGAUCCGUAUCCUCAAUGGUUUUGCAUAUUCAGUAUAAGAAUUUGCUUUUUCAUUU
Molecule: long non-coding RNA, 387 nt
Filed under: Homo sapiens (human)
Lineage: Eukaryota; Metazoa; Chordata; Mammalia; Primates; Hominidae
Description: non-protein coding lnc-LAMP2-1:1
Source: RNAcentral